Molecule: ribosomal RNA, 497 nt
Filed under: uncultured bacterium
Lineage: Bacteria
Description: partial 16S ribosomal RNA
Rfam family: Bacterial small subunit ribosomal RNA
Source: RNAcentral
GAUGAACGCUGGCGGCGUGCCUAAUACAUGCAAGUCGAGCGAACGGACGAGAAGCUUGCUUCUCUGAUGUUAGCGGCGGACGGGUGAGUAACACGUGGAUAACCUACCUAUAAGACUGGGAUAACUUCGGGAAACCGGAGCUAAUACCGGAUAAUAUUUUGAACCGCAUGGUUCAAAAGUGAAAGACGGUCUUGCUGUCACUUAUAGAUGGAUCCGCGCUGCAUUAGCUAGUUGGUAAGGUAACGGCUUACCAAGGCAACGAUGCAUAGCCGACCUGAGAGGGUGAUCGGCCACACUGGAACUGAGACACGGUCCAGACUCCUACGGGAGGCAGCAGUAGGGAAUCUUCCGCAAUGGGCGAAAGCCUGACGGAGCAACGCCGCGUGAGUGAUGUAGGUCUUCGGAUCGUAAAACUCUGUUAUUAGGGAAGAACAUAUGUGUAAGUAAAUGUGCACAUCUUGACGGUACCUAAUCAGAAAGCCACGGCUAACUACGUG